Molecule: unclassified non-coding RNA, 345 nt
Filed under: soil metagenome
Description: partial contains 5.8S ribosomal RNA, internal transcribed spacer 2, and large subunit ribosomal RNA
Rfam family: 5.8S ribosomal RNA (bases 1-119)
Source: RNAcentral
GAUGAAGAACGUAGCGAAAUGCGAUACGUAAUGUGAAUUGCAAAUUCAGUGAAUCAUCGAGUCUUUGAACGCACAUUGCGCCCCCUGGUAUUCUGGGGGGCAUGCCUGUCCGAGCGUCAUUGCUGCCCUCAAGCACGGCUUGUGUGUUGGGCCCCGUCCUCCGAUCCCGGGGGACGGGCCCGAAAGGCAGCGGCGGCACCGCGUCCGGUCCUCGAGCGUAUGGGGCUUUGUCACCCGCUCUGUAGGCCCGGCCGGCGCUUGCCGAUCAACCCAAAUUUUUAUCCAGGUUGACCUCGGAUCAGGUAGGGAUACCCGCUGAACUUAAGCAUAUCAAUAAGCGGAGGA